GCAGAGAACUUUCCAGAGAUGGAUUGGUGCCUUCGGGAACUCUGACACAGGUGCUGCAUGGCUGUCGUCAGCUCGUGUCGUGAGAUGUUGGGUUAAGUCCCGUAACGAGCGCAACCCUUGUCCUUAGUUACCAGCACGUUAUGGUGGGCACUCUAAGGAGACUGCCGGUGACAAACCGGAGGAAGGCGGGGAUGACGUCAAGUCAUCAUGGCCCUUACGGCCUGGGCUACACACGUGCUACAAUGGUCGGUACAAAGGGUUGCCAAGCCGCGAGGUGGAGCUAAUCCCAUAAAACCGAUCGUAGUCCGGAUCGCAGUCUGCAACUCGACUGCGUGAAGUCGGAAUCGCUAGUAAUCGUGAAUCAGAAUGUCACGGUGAAUACGUUCCCGGGCCUU
This 395-nucleotide ribosomal RNA is filed under the name uncultured Pseudomonas sp. Its description in RNAcentral is "bacterial SSU rRNA". It matches the Rfam family "Bacterial small subunit ribosomal RNA", at positions 988 to 1382 of the family's 1533-position model. The record is from RNAcentral. Lineage: Bacteria; Pseudomonadati; Pseudomonadota; Gammaproteobacteria; Pseudomonadales; Pseudomonadaceae.